This 433-nucleotide ribosomal RNA is filed under the name uncultured bacterium. Its description in RNAcentral is "partial 16S ribosomal RNA". It matches the Rfam family "Bacterial small subunit ribosomal RNA", at positions 29 to 507 of the family's 1533-position model. The record is from RNAcentral.
AACGAACGCUGGCGGCAUGCCUAACACAUGCAAGUCGAACGAGACCUUCGGGUCUAGUGGCGCACGGGUGCGUAACGCGUGGGAACCUGCCCUUAGGUUCGGAAUAACUCCCCGACAGGGGUGCUAAUACCAGAUAAUGUCUUCGGACCAAAGAUUUAUCGCCUUUGGAUGGGCCCGCGUUGGAUUAGCUCGUUGGUAGGGUAAAAGCCUACCAAGGCGACGAUCCAUAGCUGGUCUGAGAGGAUGAUCAGCCACACUGGGACUGAGACACGGCCCAGACUCCUACGGGAGGCAGCAGUGGGGAAUAUUGGAAAAUGGGCGAAAGCCUGAUCCAGCAAUGCCGGGUGAGUGAUGAAGGCCUUAGGGUUGUAAAGCUCUUUUACCCGGGAUGAUAAUGACAGUACCGGGAGAAUAAGCCCCGGCUAACUCCGUG